Long non-coding RNA from Thalassophryne amazonica, 96 nucleotides. RefSeq lists it as uncharacterized. The transcript has 3 exons. The record is from RefSeq and is a predicted model, not a curated record. Lineage: Eukaryota; Metazoa; Chordata; Actinopteri; Batrachoidiformes; Batrachoididae.
ACAUAACAUGAAAAAAGAUGUGGCAAAGGCUAAGGAAAGGGUAUAUAGUGAGCUGUACAUGAAGCUGAACACUAACGAAGGAGAAAAGGACAUAUA